CCCUUUGCAUUUUGCCGGAAAAACGGGUAUAAUGGUUGCGCCGGAGCAAUCCGGCUAUGGUGAUAAACGGGCUGUGAAAUAAACCGAUUGGACCCGGGGGCGGUACCCGGCGCCUCCACCACAGGGCAUUUGCAAAGCUGCUCUGUGGCGGGGGCGAAACAGGAUCGACAAAGGCGUAAAGACUGAUCUUUCACCCGGCAUUGUACCACCGUUAUCGGGCUGACUUGGUAGUUGCAAAUGACAACUAUGCGGAGGCUCGUCUCGCUGCCUAAUGGCGGUGCGACAGCUUCAACUUAAGUCUUGUUCCGUCGCAGGAACAAGCGGGGUUCGGAGGCACCUGGCAACAGAAGCCUUCACU
Molecule: transfer-messenger RNA, 358 nt
Filed under: Candidatus Tokpelaia hoelldobleri
Lineage: Bacteria; Pseudomonadati; Pseudomonadota; Alphaproteobacteria; Hyphomicrobiales
Description: Candidatus Tokpelaia hoelldoblerii Alphaproteobacteria transfer-messenger RNA
Rfam family: Alphaproteobacteria transfer-messenger RNA
About the family: Bacterial tmRNA, also known as 10Sa RNA or SsrA, is named for its dual tRNA and mRNA-like properties. Its role is to liberate the mRNA from a stalled ribosome.
Source: Rfam by way of RNAcentral